Bombus terrestris (buff-tailed bumblebee) is the source of this 482-nucleotide long non-coding RNA. RefSeq lists it as uncharacterized. Lineage: Eukaryota; Metazoa; Arthropoda; Insecta; Hymenoptera; Apidae. The record is from RefSeq and is a predicted model, not a curated record. The transcript is spliced from 2 exons.
GCAUUAUCUGACAUAAUUUAUCUCUCGUACUUAUUCUUUCAUCCAGGCAAAGGAAGCUGUCGGAACAGAUUUAAUUCCCGUUCAUUAGAUUCGUCGCCUUACUGAAUACGAUAUUCUCGAGUUCGCGGUUCAAGGGAAAGCAAAGAAUUCUGGUGGGGUCGAGAGCAACGUUCAAGAUGAAAUCCUCGGCCCUUGUUAAAUCGUCUCGGUCGGGGUCGAACAAUGCGUUCGCCAGCAUCCUCGUUUCUCGGUGAUUGCACAUAAAGCUGCCAUUAUUAGAACUUCAGUGAGCGGGAAAUCGAAUAAAUUUGAAGUUGAAGAAAGUAAGAGAAAGUCGAAACGAAGCAAACGCGAUUCCUUAAGCCACGAUGUUCAGGGAUUUUAUAAUCUUUCCGGUGACGUCUUCGACGUGGAAUACCCAGAAGCUGAGAAAUUGAUUCUGUACGAUGAAAAAGACGAUGUCUCCACAGAAUACAACGAUA